Molecule: transfer RNA, 64 nt
Filed under: uncultured Faecalibacillus sp.
Lineage: Bacteria; Bacillati; Bacillota; Erysipelotrichia; Erysipelotrichales; Coprobacillaceae
Rfam family: tRNA
About the family: Transfer RNA (tRNA) molecules are approximately 80 nucleotides in length. Their secondary structure includes four short double-helical elements and three loops (D, anti-codon, and T loops).
Source: RNAcentral
GGUAUAGCUAAGUGGUAAAGCAAUAGACUCUGACUCUAUUAUGCGCAGGUUCGAGUCCUGCUAC